RNAcentral lists this ribosomal RNA (253 nucleotides) under uncultured bacterium. RNAcentral describes it as "partial 16S ribosomal RNA". It matches the Rfam family "Bacterial small subunit ribosomal RNA", at positions 524 to 776 of the family's 1533-position model. The record is from RNAcentral.
UACGAAGGGAGCUAGCGUUGUUCGGAAUUACUGGGCGUAAAGCGCACGUAGGCGGGCUGUUAAGUCAGGGGUGAAAUCCCGGGGCUCAACCUCGGAAUUGCCUCUGAUACUGGCAGUAUUGAGUUCGGGAUAGGUUGGUGGAAUUCCUAGUGUAGAGGGGAAAUUCGUAAAUAUUAGGAAGAACACCAGUGGCGAAGGCGGCCAACUGGACCGACACUGACGCUGAGGUGCGAAAGCGUGGGGAGCAAACAGG